AUGUCAAGGACGCCGGCGGCCGCGGCGAGGACGUCCGCGGGCGGCGCAGGGCGUUCGGAGACCCCUCCACGUCUGCGUGCUCCGUCCCAGGAUCGGGGACGAACUCGCCGCCGCGGCGACAUGACUGUGCAGCCGGUGGUGCAGCCGGCGACCUCCUCAGGCGCACUCCCAAUGCUGACGCGUACAAAUUACGCAGAGUGGGCUCUGCUCAUGAAGGUAUACCUUCAGGCCCAUGGCUGGUGGGGAGCGGUCUCGCACGGUGACGUCUCCUACCACCACGAGCGCAAUGCGAUGAUCACCAUCCUGCGCGGCCUCCCCUCGGAUGUGCUGCUCGCGGUGGGCGAGAAGGAGACCGCCAAGGAGGCGUGGGACGCCAUCGCUCUGCAGCGUCUCGGUGCCACGCGUGUGCGCGAGGCCAACGCGCAGAAACUCCGGCGUGACUUCAAGGGCAUCAGCUUCCGCGACGGGGAGACGAUCGACGAUUUCUCGCUCCGCCUGUCAGGGAUCGUCAUCGGCCUGCGCGCCCUUGGCGACACCGUGGAAGAAUCAAAGGUAGUGGCCAAGUUUUUGCGCGUGGUUCCAUCCCAGUUCGCGCAGGUGGCGAUCGCGAUCGAGACGCUGCUGGACAUUAGUACGCUCUCCCUGGACGAGGUCACCGGCAGGCUGCGCGUCGUGCAGGACCGCCUCGACGACGCGCAUGGCGGCAGCAGCAGCCAAGGUGGGCGGCUGCUUCUCACUCGGGAGGAGUGGCAGGCCAGAGAACUGCAACCUCGCGUCUCGGGCGGCAACACCAACCGUCGCAAGGGCGGCGGCCGUGGCCGAGGAAGGGGCCACGGUGGCGGACGUGGUGCCGCGCGUGGCGCCGUUAGUGGCGCGGACUACCCCGACAAGAGCGGCGGGGACAAGGAGAAGUGUCGAUACUGCGGCUUCAAGGGGCACUGGGCGCGCGACUGCAGAAAGAAGAAGAGGGAGGAGGACGCCCUCCUUGCCCAGGCCGAUGAGGAGGCCGAUCCGGAGCUGUUGCUCGCCGAGGUGGUCGAGAUCGUACGUCCCACUCAGGCAGGCAGCAGCGUCGCGGCGCUGGCUCCGGCGGCAAAACCCACGGCACUCAUCUUGUACCACCUGGCCAGCUCAACCGACACAACCACCGCUCCAGGGGUGAUACCCUGGGGUUUCUGCUCCCAGGUUCCCAUGGCAGUUCAACCGCUCGGACACUUGGUUGCAUCGUCCCAGGAGUACCACCAGGGUGGUCUCUACGGUUCUACGCUGGCUCCUCAGGUUGUGCUCCUGGCCGGUACUACCGCUCGGUUCCAGGCGGUACUACCACCGCCUCCCUGGCGUCGGAAGUACCACCCGCAACCACUGCCGCCAGUCGCCGUCAUCCUCACCCCAGAGUGCUCUCCAUCGCUCUGGAUCCAUGGGCCUUCCUUGGAUCUGCUUCGUGGAGGCCCCCUCCCACCCGAUCUCUUCCCAUGGAUACCGGUACUUGCUCUCCCAUGGGUGGAAUUGCUCGCUUCCAGCGGUGGCUUUGGUUCUUGCUCUGCUCCUCCUACCAAGACCAAGAAGCGAGCCCGUAGAUGCAAGCGCCCUGUUGAGUCUAAAGUGGAAGAUGAGGUUGUGGUUCCCACCAAGACAACUCACCGUGAAAAGUAUGUCGCUGCCAAGCAGCGUGUUGCCCUUCCUAUGCACAAGUGGAAGGCAAAGUACUGGGAAACCUUCCGGAAGAGGAAUUCGUAUGUGGUUCCGGUUGACCCACGUUGGACCACUAUUCAGUUCCAGAAUGAGAUGCAAGUGAGGAUUGUCAAUGAGUUGUUCGAGCAUCACAAGAAUCGGUAUACCAAGAAGUGGACCAUUGACCUUGACCAUUGGAGGAACAACAUGGAGUACUUUGGAGAGGCGUUGGUUCUCUAUGAGGAGUUUGAUUUGAUCAAGCUCAUGUCUAUCAACUGGGACUUCGAUGUUCAGCUUAUUCAUCAGUUCUAUGCAACCGUUUAUUUUGGUGAAGAGGAUGAUCGCGCUCUCUCUCUUUCAUGUGCCGUGAUGAGUUCUUUCAAGUGCCUUGGAGAGCUUUCUGCAAUGCUCUUGGCUAUGAUGAUACCGGUCUCGACAGGAAUGGCGGCAUUCGUCCUCACGACCAUGCCCAUUCCGUGCCUAGGGAGAAGGUUGAUCCUCUAUAUAUUCGUGGGCGAGGCAUCAUUGGUUGGAAAUCAGGAUGAGAUUUAUGGGUGCGUCGUUGAUUUGCUUGUUUCUAUGAAGACUCAAGUGGGCUCUGGUUCUACGUUUGAUGUGUCCAAGUGGCUAUGGGAGGAGAUGUACAUCAUGGUCAUCUACCAUAACCUCACCGUGCAUGAGGUCAAGCAACUUAAGAAUACGAAGCAUGCCGAGCCCUGCUUUCCUGCUGAUGAUCCCAAGGAUGUCUAUGCCACUUCAGAUGAUGAGGAUUUCGAGAUGGAGGUGGGAGAGAGAGGUCCCCGUUUCCUUCCAAACCAGUGGUUUACUUUCCAAGCGGUUGUACCGCUCGUUUGGGCGGUCGUACCGCCUGCCCAGUUCAACUGGCACAACCACCGCCCAGGGGUGAUACCCUUGGGUUGCUACUCCCAGGUACAUGCCCAGCGGUUGUACCGCCUCUACUCUGGGAAAACAUUGGGGUGCUUCACGUGCAGUUGUACUGGCCAGGUACGCGCAACCACCGGACUCGGUUCUGUGAUGGGGCGGUCCUUGGGCGGUGGUGGGCCGGUUCCAGACGGACAAGAGGAGAGGAGGAUCAGCGAGGUCGAGUUCAUCAGGUACGCGCGCGUAAUCCUCCUAUCUCAUCACCACCAUGCCGGAUUGAUUGAUCCCCCGCCUGCGCGUCGUGUGUCCAGAGAAGAUGCGUUACCUUGUUGUCUUUGUGGUUUAGAUCGCCUCGGCUUGCGUCCUAGGGAGUUCAGAUUUGGUGGAAUCUUGAUGCGAUUUCGGUUCCUUUGA
This 2967-nucleotide ribosomal RNA is filed under the name Triticum aestivum (bread wheat). Its description in RNAcentral is "partial small subunit ribosomal RNA". The record is from RNAcentral. Lineage: Eukaryota; Viridiplantae; Streptophyta; Magnoliopsida; Poales; Poaceae.